UACGUAGGGUGCGAGCGUUAGUCGGAAUUACUGGGCGUAAAGCGUGCGCAGGCGGUGAUGUAAGACAGGUGUGAAAUCCCCGGGCUUAACCUGGGAACUGCAUUUGUGACUGCAUCGCUGGAGUGCGGCAGAGGGGGAUGGAAUUCCGCGUGUAGCAGUGAAAUGCGUAGAGAUGUGGAGGAACACCGAUGGCGAAGGCAGCCCCCUGGGCCGACACUGACGCUCAGGCACGAAAGCGUGGGGAGCAAACAGG
This 253-nucleotide ribosomal RNA is filed under the name uncultured prokaryote. Its description in RNAcentral is "partial 16S ribosomal RNA". It matches the Rfam family "Bacterial small subunit ribosomal RNA", at positions 524 to 776 of the family's 1533-position model. The record is from RNAcentral.